UUAACCGAGGACAGAUUUGACUGAUUGCCACCUCAUCGUAAAAACGAUAAAUGAUGCUAAACCAGUAAUC
Regulatory RNA element from Capnocytophaga sp. oral taxon 338, 70 nucleotides. The record is from Rfam. Lineage: Bacteria; Pseudomonadati; Bacteroidota; Flavobacteriia; Flavobacteriales; Flavobacteriaceae.